RNAcentral lists this ribosomal RNA (500 nucleotides) under uncultured soil bacterium. RNAcentral's name for it is "bacterial SSU rRNA". It matches the Rfam family "Bacterial small subunit ribosomal RNA", at positions 8 to 524 of the family's 1533-position model. The record is from RNAcentral.
AGAGUUUGAUCCUGGCUCAGAAUCAACGCUGGCGGCGUGCCUAACACAUGCAAGUCGAACGAGAAAGAGGGGGCAACCCCUUGAGUAAAGUGGCGACCGGGUGAGUAACACGUGACUAACCUACCCUUGAGUGGGGAAUAACCUUCCGAAAGGAGGGCUAAUACCGCAUAACAUCGCGAGGUGAGAUUCCUUGUGAUCAAGGAGCAAUUCGCUUAAGGAGGGGGUCGCGGCUGAUUAGCUAGUUGGUGAGGUAACGGCUCACCAAGGCGAUGAUCAGUAUCCGGCCUGAGAGGGCGCACGGACACACUGGAACUGAAACACGGUCCAGACUCCUACGGGAGGCAGCAGUGGGGAAUUUUGCGCAAUGGGGGAAACCCUGACGCAGCAACGCCGCGUGGAGGAUGAAGGUCUUUGGAUUGUAAACUCCUUUCGAUCGGGACGAUUAUGACGGUACCGGAAGAAGAAGCACCGGCUAACUCUGUGCCAGCAGCCGCGGUAAU